AUAUAUGUGCUGAAGGGUAAUAAAUUUUCAGAAAUAUAAUAGAAUAAUAUAUAGUUUUUAUGUGAUAAAACUACAUAACUAGCUAAUAAUAAGUAGUUAAGGACAAUAUUAAUGAUGUUAGUAGUAGACUAUGCUGAGCUCAAAUUUUUUUAAUCUCCAGUUCCUAUCUUAGUUGGAGCAGGACUUCUACUUUUUCCAACGGCAACAAAAAAAUCUUCGCCGUUUCACCAAGUGCAAAUUUAAGCUUUACUUAACCUUAAUUUGUCGACUUGAAGAUGUUUCUUAUUGUUUCUAUAUCGAACUGAAAGUGUUUAGAUUAAGUUGCAAGACUUCCAUGUCAAUAGAGUCAAUAAAUAUAUAAUAACGAUUUUAGAUUACCGGAAAUGACUGAUGCUAUAGUAUUUCGUGGGUCAAGUUUUGAAGUUUUGGCUUAAAGGUUUGACCAGAGGUUCAUUUGACUGACUUGGAUAUUUGGCCCUACGUGUAAAUACGAAUAGAAAUGUUUAUGUCAGAUGCCAAGGUGUUAAAUAACCAAAUUGGCAUAUCGAAGCUCAUUGCAAAUCAUACACAUACGAUCUGUACUGACAAAAGAUGCAGCCAAAUGUGUAGCUCAAUUGCAUAACUGCGGCUGCGGUACAUGAAAGUGAACUGCUUUCAAAUGGUUGAGAGGACGUCGAUAAGAAUUUUGGAAUCAGUACAUUUCCACCUCAAGCUUACCGAAAUCAGCACCACUGCAAGCUAAUUUACCUUCUCUAACUGCAAAAGCUUCCUGCAAAAGCUUACAUGUUUUGUUCUCAUGUAUCGUUGUGCUUUAUCAAUGAAAUUGCUGCCGUUUUGAAGUAAAAAAACAACUACGAAAGCUUCAUCAUCUCAGGAGUAUGCUCUGAACUAAACCAAAUAUAUAAAUUAGUAUUAUAAAACAAGAAAACCUUUAAGGGAAGGGAUCCCCAUUUUUUUAUAAAAAUGAGGAUUAGUUGUAGGGUCUACACCACAUCGAACUUUAACGAUCCGAACCGUCUAUGUUUCAAAUUGUACCACAUAGAUCAUCAUUGCAAAAUAUUAGCCAAAUCAGAAAUGUUUAAGACAUUUAAUUGAGUUCAAAGAAAUUGAUGAAUACUUUGUUAUAUAAGAAAAAAAUGAAAUUUUAUCUUCAUAAUUAAAUAGGCAAAUGGGUCUGGAUUGAAUUGAAUUUUUGUUAGGAUGAUCUAUAAAUCGAUACUUACAAAAUGGACGGUUCAGAUCGUUAAAGUUCGAUGUGAAGUGGACCUCACACCUAAUCCCCAUUUUUUGAAAAGAAUAAGAAUCCCUUUGCAUAAAGGGCCUGUAUAAAAACAAAGUACAUGUCUUUAAUUAAAUCAUGACUAACACAUGAUAAGAAUUAAUCAAUUGUAUUGAGAUUCUGGUUAGUCAUUAAUUAUAUUAAAGUAACAAGUAGAAUUCAAACCAGUGAGGCGAUGUACUGCAUCUAGCUUGACAUGCAUGCAUAGUAAUCAGAUUAAUAUGGUUAGUAGAAUUGAUUCUUACAUAUAUAUAGGUACUUACUAUAAUAUUCAUCUACAAGGAGUGGUGCUAUUGAGACUGAUUUUAAAAUGGAACAAGUCACAUGCAAGUGCCUGCUAAAAAAUAUCCUUGAAUAUAUCUUGCUAAUUAAGCUGGGGCCUUCAUUUUCUAAACAAGAAUUAAUCCAUUAAUUUCAAAAUGUUAACGGCAACAGAAAGGACAUUUAGUUUUCUCAUCAUAACAAUAAAUAAAUUUAGAAGGGCUAAGACUCUUCUUUUAUGUUAGAAUACGUAGUGAGAUUGUCCUAUCCAGAGAGAUUCGACGGAAUUAAUAUGUCCUCAUUCUCAACUUGUUUAUGUAUGGUUAAUUAAUAAUACAUACCUUAAGUGAGCUCUCCUGGUUCUCCAUAUAAAACAAUGUAGCAAAGAGAGAAGAGCUGAAGGUGUAAUUUUUUCAAAGACAAAUGAAGGUGAUGGUGGUGAAGAUCAAGAAAUUAUUUGAAGGUGUUGGGUGAGACAUGACACUGAGCAACUGCAAAAUAAUAGAGGACAGAGUUUUGCUUACGCACACAUGUUCUUAUUGAUACAUGUAAGAGAUACAUUUUAGGAUCUAUUAUUAUUAACAAUUGAUAGUUAUUCAUAUACAUUAUUGGACGUCUUUAACAAUGCAAAAGAUAAUUUAGAGUACUCAACCACACAUAUUCAGUUUUAGGUAAUAUUAUUGUUCUUGUGCACCCUAUUUUCUUGUAUAUAUUUAUUCUUUCCAUCACUAAUGAAUAUAAUAUCGUAUUACUUCAAAACAUUUAUUUUAAUCUUGGAAUAAUUCAUUUUUACUGUCCCCAUUGCUGGGAAAUUCUUCAAAAGCAUUUCACAGACGUCUCUUGCAUGUUUCUCAAAAGCAAUAUAAAGGAAAGAGUGUACUUACCUCUCUGCCACCUUCCUAAAAUAUAUAAAAAUGGGAAGUAUUUUUCUAACCGAUUACUAGUUAAUUAUUAAGAAGCACGGUCGGUAAGGUCAUCAUCUUUGGAACUUAUUAUUUUAAAACAAUAAAGACAAGUUUAGGUGUAAUAGGGUACUUUUAUAGACUAACUUAAAAUACACGCAUCUUUAAUAGAUAGUAUUGUUUUCAACAAAAAUUGCCAAUAGAUUGCAUAAGAAGACAUUCCACAAAAUACCAAAGUUUUUUCCCUUUUAUUCUCUUGGUGUUAAUUAAUAAAGAACUCUAAAAUGUGGGUAAUCCUCCCCAUCCGCAACAUCCUGUCAUCAUCUCUUGCUUCCUUUAUGCUGUAUAUAUAGAGUAAAAUUUCUAUAAAUAAAUACUCAUCAGACCCAAAAAAAAAUUAUCAUUUAAGAAUGAUUAUUAUUACAUCGAUAAAUAGAAUUUAUUUGGUAAAGAAUUUACCUUCACUACUUCUAUAAAUAAAGGCGCAAUAAUUUGAGAUCUAUUCUGCCUCACAAUUACAUCAAACUCUAUCUCUUUCUUGCUUGCCACACCCCUCUUUCUCGCUCUAUAAUUCUUCGGUUAAAUACGUCUAUAACAGCACGCUCUAGCCUGUCGCUAAGGAAACUAAUGCUAAGGAACUGAAGAUUCGUGGAGGAAGUUCUUCUACAAAUUCAAGGACUCAAUUUCGUUUUCAGCCAUCCUAAAAUCCAACUUGAUAUU
RNAcentral lists this long non-coding RNA (3162 nucleotides) under Malus domestica (apple). RNAcentral's name for it is "long non-coding RNA (MDOM_LNC003993)". The record is from RNAcentral. Lineage: Eukaryota; Viridiplantae; Streptophyta; Magnoliopsida; Rosales; Rosaceae.